UACGUAGGGGGCAAGCGUUGUCCGGAUUUAUUGGGCGUAAAGCGCGUGUAGGCGGCUAUGUAGGUCCGCUGUGAAAACUUGAGGCUCAACCUCAAGAGGUCGGUGGAAACCAUCUAGCUAGAGUCCGGAAGAGGAGAAUGGAAUUCCUGGUGUAGCGGUGAAAUGCGCAGAUAUCAGGAAGAACACCCGUGGCGAAGGCGGUUCUCUGGGACGGUACUGACGCUGAGACGCGAAAGCGUGGGGAGCGAACAGG
Molecule: ribosomal RNA, 253 nt
Filed under: uncultured bacterium
Lineage: Bacteria
Description: partial 16S ribosomal RNA
Rfam family: Bacterial small subunit ribosomal RNA
Source: RNAcentral